ACGUAGGGGGCAAGCGUUAUCCGGAUUUACUGGGUGUAAAGGGAGCGUAGACGGCAAGGCAAGUCUGAUGUGAAAACCCAGGGCUUAACCCUGGGACUGCAUUGGAAACUGUCUGGCUCGAGUGCCGGAGAGGUAAGCGGAAUUCCUAGUGUAGCGGUGAAAUGCGUAGAUAUUAGGAAGAACAUCAGUGGCGAAGGCGGCUUACUGGACGGUAACUGACGUUGAGGCUCGAAAGCGUGGGGAGCAAACAG
This 251-nucleotide ribosomal RNA is filed under the name uncultured bacterium. Its description in RNAcentral is "partial 16S ribosomal RNA". It matches the Rfam family "Bacterial small subunit ribosomal RNA", at positions 525 to 775 of the family's 1533-position model. The record is from RNAcentral.